RNAcentral lists this ribosomal RNA (232 nucleotides) under uncultured bacterium. Its description in RNAcentral is "partial 16S ribosomal RNA". It matches the Rfam family "Bacterial small subunit ribosomal RNA", at positions 99 to 334 of the family's 1533-position model. The record is from RNAcentral.
CGGACGGGGGAGUAAUGUCUGGGAAACUGCCCGAUGGAGGGGGAUAACUACUGGAAACGGUAGCUAAUACCGCAUAACGUCGCAAGACCAAAGAGGGGGACCUUCGGGCCUCUUGCCAUCGGAUGUGCCCAGAUGGGAUUAGCUAGUAGGUGGGGUAACGGCUCACCUAGGCGACGAUCCCUAGCUGGUCUGAGAGGAUGACCAGCCACACUGGAACUGAGACACGGUCCAG